This 772-nucleotide unclassified non-coding RNA is filed under the name Zerene cesonia (dogface butterfly). RNAcentral describes it as "putative gamma-glutamylcyclotransferase CG2811, transcript variant X1". The record is from RNAcentral. Lineage: Eukaryota; Metazoa; Arthropoda; Insecta; Lepidoptera; Pieridae.
UCACAACUUAUAAGUUUUAGAUUUUGUGGCGAAGCCAUAGGCGGACUAUUUAAAUUUAUAAAUAAAAUAAUGUAAAAUGUUUUAGUUUCAUAGUUUUUAGUCAUUAAUGAUUAAGGUUUGGAGUUUAUUUGUGAUACCCAAUUUUAAAAAUAAUAACUUCAUUGCCUUUCGAGACAUGUCUCACAAAGUAUUUGUAUAUGGAACACUCAAACGUAAUGAGCCUAAUCAUCACUGGCUCACAAACCCUGAUAAUGGAACAGGGACGUUCCUUACAGAAGGCAUUACAAAGAACAAAUACCCCCUUAUAAUAGCUACAAAGUACAACAUACCAUUCCUUUUAUAUAGCCCUGGUGAUGGACAUCAUAUUAAAGGAGAGAUCUAUGAAGUAGAUGACAUCAUGCUCAGUAAAUUAGAUAUUCUGGAGGACCAUCCCAAAUGGUAUAUCAGGGAAAUUGAUGAUAUACUGGUUAAGAAACCGGGUUCCAAUGACGAGGAAAUAGUAAAAUGCUGGGUGUAUUUCUUGAAAAAUUUCCGACCAGAGCUAUUGAAACGGCAACUUUUCGAAUGCUACACCUCCAGUGGUACACAUGGCUUAAAAUAUUUGGAAAGGUCAAAACGCGAUCCUAAUCAUAACCAUUAUUCUGAAGUUAAGAAAUAAGAAUUAAAAGCUUUUGGGUAUGGUACAAGAUGUCUAUGGUUUUGCUAGAAUAUUUUUGUGAAGAUAACGAAGCAUCGAUAGAAGAUCUAAAAGAACUGCAGAAAUAAUAAUUAU